UCAGUCGGCCGGACGGCCGCUCUCGCUACGGUCGAAAGGCUGCGGGAGAGGAAAGUCCGGGCUCCAUCGACAUACGGUGCCGGAUAACGUCCGGCGGGGGCGACCCCAGGGAAAGUGCCACAGAGAACGAACCGCCUUCUCUUAGGAGGAGGCAAGGGUGAAAAGGUGCGGUAAGAGCGCACCGCGGGUCCGGCAACGGAACCGGCAUGGCAAACCACACCGGGAGCAAAACCGAAUAGGGACGGCACCGCGGGCAGUUCGCGAAAGCGAAAACGCCGCAGGGCAAUGUCAGGCUCGCCGUCCGGGUAGGUUGCUCGAGGCCAUGUGCAAACAUGGUCCCAGAGGAAUGGCCGUCACGUAUCACUCGCGAAAGCGAGUGAUACCCUACAAAACCCGGCUUACAGGCCGGCUGAUGUU
This 417-nucleotide RNase P RNA is filed under the name Bradyrhizobium sp. OAE829. RNAcentral describes it as "RNase P class A". It matches the Rfam family "Bacterial RNase P class A". From Rfam's summary of the family: Ribonuclease P (RNase P) is a ubiquitous endoribonuclease, found in archaea, bacteria and eukarya as well as chloroplasts and mitochondria. Its best characterised activity is the generation of mature 5'-ends of tRNAs by cleaving the 5'-leader elements of precursor-tRNAs. The record is from RNAcentral. Lineage: Bacteria; Pseudomonadati; Pseudomonadota; Alphaproteobacteria; Hyphomicrobiales; Nitrobacteraceae.